RNAcentral lists this ribosomal RNA (933 nucleotides) under uncultured bacterium. Its description in RNAcentral is "bacterial SSU rRNA". It matches the Rfam family "Bacterial small subunit ribosomal RNA", at positions 60 to 1033 of the family's 1533-position model. The record is from RNAcentral.
AGUCGUACGAGAGUUUUUAACUCAAGUGGCGGACGGGUGAGUAACACGUGAGAAUUUGCCUUUAGGAGGGGGAUAACAGAGUGAAAACGCUGCUAAUACCCCAUAUGCUUUCGAGUGAAAUGGAUUUAUUCGCCUAAAGAGAAGCUCGCGGCUGAUUAGCUUGUUGGUAAGGUAAUGGCUUACCAAGGCGACGAUCAGUAUCUGGUUUGAGAGGACGAUCAGACACACUGGAACUGAGACACGGUCCAGACUCCUACGGGAGGCAGCAGUGGGGAAUUUUCCGCAAUGGGCGAAAGCCUGACGGAGCAAUACCGCGUGAGGGAUGACUGCCUAUGGGUUGUAAACCUCUUUUCUCAGGGAGGAAAUCAAUGACGUUACCUGAGGAAUAAGCAUCGGCUAACUCCGUGCCAGCAGCCGCGGUAAGACGGAGGAUGCAAGUGUUAUCCGGAAUCACUGGGCGUAAAGCGUCUGUAGGUGGCUUAACAAGUCAACUGUUAAAUCUUGAAGCUCAACUUCGAAAUCGCAGUCGAAACUGUUAGGCUAGAGUAUAGUAGGGGUAAAGGGAAUUUCCAGUGGAGCGGUGAAAUGCGUAGAGAUUGGAAAGAACACCGAUGGCGAAGGCACUUUACUGGGCUAUUACUGACACUCAGAGACGAAAGCUAGGGUAGCAAAUGGGAUUAGAUACCCCAGUAGUCCUAGCCGUAAACAAUGGAUACUAGAUGUUGGGCAGAUCGACCUGUUCAGUAUCAAAGCUAACGCGUUAAGUAUCCCGCCUGGGAAGUAUGCGCGCAAGCGUGAAACUCAAAGGAAUUGACGGGGGCCCGCACAAGCGGUGGAGCAUGUGGUUUAAUUCGAUGCAACGCGAANAACCUUACCAGGGUUUGACAUGAUACGAAUUUUUUUGAAAGAAAAAGUGCCGUUUGGAACGUAUAC